Molecule: ribosomal RNA, 253 nt
Filed under: uncultured bacterium
Lineage: Bacteria
Description: partial 16S ribosomal RNA
Rfam family: Bacterial small subunit ribosomal RNA
Source: RNAcentral
UACGUAGGCAGCGAGCGUUGUUCGGAGUUACUGGGCGUAAAGAGUGCGUAGGCGGUUUUCUAAGUUUGGUGUGAAAUCUCCCGGCUUAACUGGGAGGGUGCGCCGAAGACUGGAAGGCUUGAGUAUGGGAGAGGUAAGCGGAAUUCCUGGUGUAGCGGCGAAAUGCGUAGAUAUCAGGAGGAACACCUGCGGUGUAGACGGCUUACUGGACCAUCACUGACGCUGAGGCACGAAAGCGUGGGUAGCAAACAGG